AUUGAACGCUGGCGGAAUGCUUUACACAUGCAAGUCGAACGGCAGCACGGACUUCGGUCUGGUGGCGAGUGGCGAACGGGUGAGUAACAUAUCGGAACGUAUCCAAUAAUGGGGGAUAACGAGUCGAAAGAUUCGCUAAUACCGCAUACGCCCUACGGGGGAAAGCUGGGGACCUUCGGGCCUGGCGUUAAUGGAGCGGCCGAUAUCUGAUUAGCUAGUUGGUGAGGCAAAGGCUCACCAAGGCGACGAUCAGUAGCUGGUCUGAGAGGACGACCAGCCACACUGGAACUGAGACGCGGUCCAGACUCCUACGGGAGGCAGCAGUGGGGAAUUUUGGACAAUGGGCGCAAGCCUGAUCCAGCCAUUCCGCGUGAGUGAAGAAGGCCAUCGGGUUGUAAAGCUCUUUCGCAAGGGAAGAAAACUUAGCCACUAACAUUGGUUGAGGUUGACGGUACCUUGAUAAGAAGCACCGGCUAACUACGUGCCAGCAGCCGCGGUAA
RNAcentral lists this ribosomal RNA (500 nucleotides) under uncultured bacterium. RNAcentral describes it as "partial 16S ribosomal RNA". It matches the Rfam family "Bacterial small subunit ribosomal RNA", at positions 30 to 523 of the family's 1533-position model. The record is from RNAcentral.